GAUGAACGCUGGCGGCGUGCCUAAUACAUGCAAGUCGAGCGAACAGACGAGGAGCUUGCUCCUCUGACGUUAGCGGCGGACGGGUGAGUAACACGUGGAUAACCUACCUAUAAGACUGGGAUAACUUCGGGAAACCGGAGCUAAUACCGGAUAAUAUAUUGAACCGCAUGGUUCAAUAGUGAAAGACGGUUUUGCUGUCACGUAUAGAUGGAUCCGCGCCGCAUUAGCUAGUUGGUAAGGUAACGGCUUACCAAGGCAACGAUGCGUAGCCGACCUGAGAGGGUGAUCGGCCACACUGGAACUGAGACACGGUCCAGACUCCUACGGGAGGCAGCAGUAGGGAAUGUUCCGCAAUGGGCGAAAGCCUGACGGAGCAACGCCGCGUGAGUGAUGAAGGUCUUCGGAUCGUAAAACUCUGUUAUUAGGGAAGAACAAAUGUGUAAGUAACUAUGCACGUCUUGACGGUACCUAAUCAGAAAGCCACGGCUAACUACGUG
This 497-nucleotide ribosomal RNA is filed under the name uncultured bacterium. RNAcentral's name for it is "partial 16S ribosomal RNA". It matches the Rfam family "Bacterial small subunit ribosomal RNA", at positions 28 to 507 of the family's 1533-position model. The record is from RNAcentral.